Molecule: ribosomal RNA, 464 nt
Filed under: uncultured Klebsiella sp.
Lineage: Bacteria; Pseudomonadati; Pseudomonadota; Gammaproteobacteria; Enterobacterales; Enterobacteriaceae
Description: bacterial SSU rRNA
Rfam family: Bacterial small subunit ribosomal RNA
Source: RNAcentral
CCUACGGGCGGCAGCAGUGGGGAAUAUUGCACAAUGGGCGCAAGCCUGAUGCAGCCAUGCCGCGUGUGUGAAGAAGGCCUUCGGGUUGUAAAGCACUUUCAGCGGGGAGGAAGGCGGUGAGGUUAAUAACCUCAUCGAUUGACGUUACCCGCAGAAGAAGCACCGGCUAACUCCGUGCCAGCAGCCGCGGUAAUACGGAGGGUGCAAGCGUUAAUCGGAAUUACUGGGCGUAAAGCGCACGCAGGCGGUCUGUCAAGUCGGGUGUGAAAUCCCCGGGCUCAACCUGGGAACUGCAUUCGAAACUGGCAGGCUAGAGUCUUGUAGAGGGGGGUAGAAUUCCAGGUGUAGCGGUGAAAUGCGUAGAGAGCUGGAGGAAUACCGGUGGCGAAGGCGGCCCCCUGGACAAAGACUGACGCUCAGGUGCGAAAGCGUGGGGAGCAAACAGGAUAGAUACCCGGGUAGUC